This 110-nucleotide microRNA precursor is filed under the name Glycine max (soybean). Its description in RNAcentral is "miR10407b stem-loop (gma-MIR10407b)". The record is from miRBase by way of RNAcentral. Lineage: Eukaryota; Viridiplantae; Streptophyta; Magnoliopsida; Fabales; Fabaceae.
UGAAUUGUGUAUAACGCUGAUAAAUUCAUCCUUAAUUUGUGUUAUGUAGACUCUUUCAUUAACAGUAACAGAUAGAAGUUAACGGAUGAAUGAAUUUGUCACACUUUUUU